GUCUAGCUGACUGCCUCAAUUAAUAUUUUUGUUCAGUAUUUACAGAUGAAAAUGAAGGAAACGGACCUCAGUUAGGAAAAAGGUCAAAUGAGUAAUUUGUUACAUGUGAGUUUACAGAGGAAGAGGUUCUAUUUCAACUGUCAAAAGUAAAGACAAAUAAGUCAAUGGGACCUGAUGGAAUACACCAAACGUUAUUAAAAGAGCCUAGGGGUGUACUAGCAAAACCAUUAACAGAU
Non-coding RNA from Pelobates cultripes (western spadefoot toad), 236 nucleotides. The record is from the annotation of a GenBank genome assembly. Lineage: Eukaryota; Metazoa; Chordata; Amphibia; Anura; Pelobatidae.